GCAGCCGCGGUAAUACGUAGGUUGGCAAGUGUUGUCCGGAAUUAUUGGGCGUAAAGGGCUCGCAGGCGGUUUCUUAAGUUGAUGUGAAAGCCCCCGGCUCAACCGGGGAGGGUCAUUGGAAACUGGGAACUUGAGUGCAGAAGAGGAGAGUGUAAUUCCACGGUAGCGGUAAAGGGUAGAGAUGUGGAGGAACACCAGUGGCGAAGGCGACUCUCUGGUCUGUAACUGACGCUGAGGAGCGAAAGCGUGGGGAGCGAACAGGAUUAGAUACCCUGGUAGUCCACGCCGUAAACGAUGAGUGCUAAGUGUUAGGGGGUUUCCGCCCCUUAGUGCUGCAGCUAACGCAUUAAGCACUCCGCCUGGGGAGUACGGUCGCAAGACUGAAACUCAAAGGAAUUGACGGGGGCCCGCACAAGCGGUGGAGCAUGUGGUUUAAUUCGAAGCAACGCGAAGAACCUUACCAGGUUCUUGACAUCCUCUGACAAUCCUGGAGAGAUAGGACGAUCUCUCCUUCGGGGGCAGAGUGACAGGUGGUGCAUGGUUGUCGUCAGCUCGUGUCGUGAGAUGUUGGGUUAAGUCCCGCAACGAGCGCAACCCUUGAUCUUAGUUGCCAGCAUUCAGUUGGGCACUCUAAGGUGACUGCCGGUGACAAACCGGAGGAAGGUGGGGAUGACGUCAAAUCAUCAUGCCCCUUAUGACCUGGGCUACACACGUGCUACAAUGGRCAGAACAAAGGGCAGCGAAACCGCGAGGUUAAGCCAAUCCCACAAAUCUGUUCUCAGUUCGGAUCGCAGUCUGCAACUCGACUGCGUGAAGCUGGAAUCGCUAGUAAUCGCGGAUCAGC
This 844-nucleotide ribosomal RNA is filed under the name Bacillus cereus. RNAcentral's name for it is "bacterial SSU rRNA". Lineage: Bacteria; Bacillati; Bacillota; Bacilli; Caryophanales; Bacillaceae. The record is from RNAcentral.